Molecule: transfer RNA, 72 nt
Filed under: Dipodomys ordii (Ord's kangaroo rat)
Lineage: Eukaryota; Metazoa; Chordata; Mammalia; Rodentia; Heteromyidae
Rfam family: tRNA
About the family: Transfer RNA (tRNA) molecules are approximately 80 nucleotides in length.
Source: Rfam by way of RNAcentral
GGGUGUAUGGCUCAGGGGUAGAGUGCCUGCCUACCAAGUGCAAAGCCCUGAGUUCAAAUCCCAGUACCACCA